RNAcentral lists this ribosomal RNA (483 nucleotides) under uncultured bacterium. RNAcentral describes it as "bacterial SSU rRNA". It matches the Rfam family "Bacterial small subunit ribosomal RNA", at positions 46 to 518 of the family's 1533-position model. The record is from RNAcentral.
GGCUAAGACAUGCAAGUCGAACGGAGCAGUCAAUUGGGUAACUGAGAGACUGUUUAGUGGCGAAAGGGUGAGGAAUAGAUAGGUAACGUGCCUUGUACUUCGGGAUGAUGUCGUAUCGCAAGAUACUACCGAAAGGGACACUAAUACCGAAUAAUGUUUCCGGUCGUAUGGCCGGUUCCCAAAGAUUUAUCGGUGCGAGAGAGGCCUAUCUCCUAUCAGUUAGUUGGUGAGGUAACGGCUCACCAAGACUAUGACGGGUAGCGGGGCUGAGAGGUUGGCCCGCCACAUCGGAACUGAGACACUGUCCGGACCUCCACGGAGGGCUGCAGUAACGAAUAUUGGGCAAUGGGCGAAAGCCUGACCCAGCGAACCGCCGCGUGCGGGAGGAAGUCCCUCGGGAUGUAAACCGCUGUCAGGGAAAAGAAAGGCGCAAGCUUGAUCUAUCCCAAAGGAAGCAACGGCUAACUUCGUGCCAGCAGCUGC